This is a non-coding RNA of Nothobranchius furzeri (turquoise killifish), 910 nucleotides long. Lineage: Eukaryota; Metazoa; Chordata; Actinopteri; Cyprinodontiformes; Nothobranchiidae. The record is from RefSeq and is a predicted model, not a curated record.
UCUGUGGUCUUCCGCAAGGAGCAGUAAUUCCGCUUGCAAAAACAAACAAGCAGAAAGCGCUUGGACCAUUGAUAAAGCGAGCGCAGCUCUGAGGGCAUCCAUGCUGUCGGCUAGUGUAAACACAGGUCGCACACGUGAUGUCAGCAUUUUUUUGUCGUGGAAAGUGACGUUGCGGACCUUAAAACUCCGGUUUUGUCUGUCCACACGCAGACACCCAAAACGGAGAAAACGCAGAUCUUCACUUUGGCCGGAGUUUUUAAAAAGAUCCGUUUUCGUGUGAAAAAACUCCGUUUUCGUGGAUCCCCGGCUACGUGUGGACAGGGCCUCAGUUUCUGCGUCAAACUGCAGGAUGGCACUUUUAGGUCAGUAACGGCAGUCUACACACGCUACGUUGUAGCUACUCCUGGCCCGGGAUCAUAAGCGGUUCACAGCCGUGAAGAACGAGGAAGACGUGAUGAAUAGUCUACGGCUGCAGGUGCGGAUCUGCAGCUACGGCUGCAGGUGCGGAUCUGCUGCUACGGCUGCAGGUGCGGAUCUGCAGCUACGGCUGCAGGUGCGGGUCUGCAGCCGUGCCCUUCUUAGCGUGACAGCGGGACAUCCCGAAGGUCCGCUCACCUGUUCACCGCUCAGAAGUCCUGAUCUUCUGCCUUCCUAGAUCAUCCAGCUGUAACCUGUUUCUGAUCAUGUCUUUAGCCCCGCUGUAACACUGAUGCAUCAGUCUCACACGUCAUGGAGCUCAGGUGUUAUUAGAACUACCUGUGUGUGUUUACCACCCAGCUUCAGCUCUUCUGUGGUUGGGUCUGACCCACGUUAGUAAAUCAGGAGAACCGAACAGAGACGACGGCCGUCUCUCAGCAUGGGAACCAGCCGAUCUCGCCAGAAGAAAAAACGCCAUCUAGAAAACCGCAGG